RNAcentral lists this ribosomal RNA (1373 nucleotides) under uncultured bacterium. RNAcentral's name for it is "bacterial SSU rRNA". It matches the Rfam family "Bacterial small subunit ribosomal RNA", at positions 28 to 1381 of the family's 1533-position model. The record is from RNAcentral.
GAUGAACGCUGGCGGCGUGCCUAAUACAUGCAAGUCGAGCGAACGGACGAGAAGCUUGCUUCUCUGAUGUUAGCGGCGGACGGGUGAGUAACACGUGGAUAACCUACCUAUAAGACUGGGAUAACUUCGGGAAACCGGAGCUAAUACCGGAUAAUAUUUUGAACCGCAUGGUUCAAAAGUGAAAGACGGUCUUGCUGUCACUUAUAGAUGGAUCCGCGCUGCAUUAGCUAGUUGGUAAGGUAACGGCUUACCAAGGCAACGAUGCAUAGCCGACCUGAGAGGGUGAUCGGCCACACUGGAACUGAGACACGGUCCAGACUCCUACGGGAGGCAGCAGUAGGGAAUCUUCCGCAAUGGGCGAAAGCCUGACGGAGCAACGCCGCGUGAGUGAUGAAGGUCUUCGGAUCGUAAAACUCUGUUAUUAGGGAAGAACAUAUGUGUAAGUAACUGUGCACAUCUCGACGGUACCUAAUCAGAAAGCCACGGCUAACUACGUGCCAGCAGCCGCGGUAAUACGUAGGUGGCAAGCGUUAUCCGGAAUUAUUGGGCGUAAAGCGCGCGUAGGCGGUUUUUUAAGUCUGAUGUGAAAGCCCACGGCUCAACCGUGGAGGGUCAUUGGAAACUGGAAAACUUGAGUGCAGAAGAGGAAAGUGGAAUUCCAUGUGUAGCGGUGAAAUGCGCAGAGAUAUGGAGGAACACCAGUGGCGAAGGCGACUUUCUGGUCUGUAACUGACGCUGAUGUGCGAAAGCGUGGGGAUCAAACAGGAUUAGAUACCCUGGUAGUCCACGCCGUAAACGAUGAGUGCUAAGUGUUAGGGGGUUUCCGCCCCUUAGUGCUGCAGCUAACGCAUUAAGCACUCCGCCUGGGGAGUACGACCGCAAGGUUGAAACUCAAAGGAAUUGACGGGGACCCGCACAAGCGGUGGAGCAUGUGGUUUAAUUCGAAGCAACGCGAAGAACCUUACCAAAUCUUGACAUCCUUUGACAACUCUAGAGAUAGAGCCUUCCCCUUCGGGGGGGCAAAGUGACAGGUGGUGCAUGGUUGUCGUCAGCUCGUGUCGUGAGAUGUUGGGUUAAGUCCCGCAACGAGCGCAACCCUUAAGCUUAGUUGCCAUCAUUAAGUUGGGCACUCUAAGUUGACUGCCGGUGACAAACCGGAGGAAGGUGGGGAUGACGUCAAAUCAUCAUGCCCCUUAUGAUUUGGGCUACACACGUGCUACAAUGGACAAUACAAAGGGCAGCGAAACCGCGAGGUCAAGCAAAUCCCAUAAAGUUGUUCUCAGUUCGGAUUGUAGUCUGCAACUCGACUACAUGAAGCCGGAAUCGCUAGUAAUCGUAGAUCAGCAUGCUACGGUGAAUACGUUCCCGGGUCU